UCAGACACGAGUAGCGAUAAAUCAGAUAAGAAUUCUGAUCGCCGUAAACCUAAGGUUUCCUGGGCUAGGUUCGUCCUCCCAGGGUUAGUCGGGAGCUAAAAUGAGGCCGUAAGGCGUAAUUGAUGCACAUGCGGUUAAUAUUCCGCAACCAAGUUGACAACUGCUGAUGUUUUGCAGCCUUCCAAAAACAAAAGUCACUGAAUGACUUAGCCAAAACUUGUUUGAGGCGCUGUUUUGUCGGGGCUGCCAAGAAAAAGGCAUCAUUCAAAUUCAACGUGCCCGUACCGCAAACCGACACAGGUAGGUGGGUCGAGUAGACCAAGGCGAGCGAGAUAGCCCUCUUUAAGGAACUCGGCAAAUUAGCCCCGUAACUUCGGGAGAAGGGGUGCCCUAUAAAAUGGGUCUCAGUAAAUUGCGUUUAGCGACUGUUUAACAAAAGCACAGCACUCUGCAACGUCGUAAGACAACGUAUAGGGUGUGACAAGUGACCAAUGCGGAAAGAUCAAGGCAAAAGGUUAGCGCAAGCGAAGCUUUGAACCUAAGUCCCCGUGAAUGACGGCCGUAACUAUGACGGUCCUAAGGUAGCGAAAUUCCUUGUCGGGUAAGUUCCGACCUGCACGAAUCUUGUAACGACUGAACGACUGUCUCAAAGAGGCUCUCGGCGAAACUGUAGUUGCGGUGAAGAUGCCGCAUACCCGCAGUAGGACGGAAAGACCCUAUGCACCUUUACUGUAAGCUCGUAUUGGCUUCUGGUUGAUGAUGCUUAGUGUAGGUGGGAGGCUUUGAAGGCAUGAUUUCGGUUAUGCUUGAGCCGCAAUGUGAAACACCACUCUUCUUUAACUAGGAGUCUAACUUUAAUUCCGUUAGCCGGAUAAAGGAAAAUGCGUGCAGGUCAGUUUGGCUGGGGCGGCUUCCUCCCAAAAAGUAACGGAGGAGCGCGAAGCUGGGCUCAGCACGGUUGGCAAUCGUGUGUCGAGCGUAUGGGUAAAAGCCCGGUUAACUGCAAGACCAACAAGUCAAGCAGAUGCGAAAGCAGGCCCAAAUGAUCCGAUGGUUGAAUGUGGAAUUGCCAUCGCUCAACGGACAAAAGGUACGCUAGGGAUAACAGGCUGAUCGGGUCCAAGAGUUCACAUCGACGACCCGGUUUGGCACCUCGAUGUCGGCUCAUCGCAUCCUGGGGCUGGAGAAGGUCCCAAGGGUCCGGCUGUUCGCCGGUUAAAGCGGUACGCGAGCUGGGUUCAGAGCGUCGUGAGACAGUUCGGUCCUUAUCCACUGUGGGCGUAGGAAACUUGAGAAAAUCCAAUCCUAGUACGAGAGGACCGGAUUGGACGCACUUCUGGUGUUGCAGUUGUCAUUUCAAUGGCAUCGCUGCGUAGCCAUGUGCGGAAAGGAUAAGCGCUGAAGGCAUCUAAGCGCCAAGCCCAUUUCAAGAUAUGGUUUCCCCAAGAUCCCCAGCAGACCACUGGGUUGAUAGGUCGCGUGUGUACAGGUUGCAAAAUCUUCAGCAGAGCGAUACUAAUGAUCUUAUGGCUUGGCC
Molecule: ribosomal RNA, 1537 nt
Filed under: metagenome
Description: bacterial LSU rRNA
Rfam family: Bacterial large subunit ribosomal RNA
Source: RNAcentral